RNAcentral lists this ribosomal RNA (593 nucleotides) under uncultured archaeon. RNAcentral's name for it is "bacterial SSU rRNA". It matches the Rfam family "Archaeal small subunit ribosomal RNA", at positions 325 to 920 of the family's 1478-position model. The record is from RNAcentral.
ACGGGGUGCAGCAGGCGCGAAAACUUCACAAUGUGGGAAACCGCGAUGAGGGGAUUCCAAGUGUUUGCGUUUUGCGUAAGCUGUUCUCCUGCCUAAAAAGCAGGGGGAGUAAGGGCUGGGUAAGACGGGUGCCAGCCGCCGCGGUAAUACCCGCAGCCCAAGUGGUGGUCGAUAUUAUUGAGCUUAAAGCGUCCGUAGCCUGUCUGGUAAAUUCUUGGGUAAAUCGUGCAGCUUAACUGUCCGAAUUCCGGGGAGACUGCCAGACUUGGGACCGGGAGAGGUUGGAGGUACUCCUGGGGUAGGGGUAAAAUCCCGUAAUCCUGGGAGGACCAUCAGUGGCGAAGGCGUCCAACUGGAACGGAUCCGACGGUCAGGGACGAAGCCCUGGGUCGCGAACUGGAUUAGAUACCCAGGUAGUCCAGGGUGUAAACGCUGCAGACUUGGUGUCGGAGGUCCUACGAGGGCGUCCGGUGCCGGAGAGAAAUUGUUAAGUCUGCCGCUUGGGGAGUACGUCCGCAAGGAUGAAACUUAAAGGAAUUGGCGGGAGAGCACCGCAACGGGAGGAGCGUGCGGUUCAAUUGGAUUCAACGCCG